GGAGAGGUGACCGAGAGGCCGAAGGUGUGCGCUUGGAAAGCGUAUGUACCGCAAGGUACCGGGGGUUCGAAUCCCCCCUUCUCCG
Molecule: transfer RNA, 85 nt
Filed under: Oceanispirochaeta crateris
Lineage: Bacteria; Pseudomonadati; Spirochaetota; Spirochaetia; Spirochaetales; Spirochaetaceae
Rfam family: tRNA
About the family: Transfer RNA (tRNA) molecules are approximately 80 nucleotides in length. Their secondary structure includes four short double-helical elements and three loops (D, anti-codon, and T loops). Further hydrogen bonds mediate the characteristic L-shaped molecular structure. tRNAs have two regions of fundamental functional importance: the anti-codon, which is responsible for specific mRNA codon recognition, and the 3' end, to which the tRNAs corresponding amino acid is attached (by aminoacyl-tRNA synthetases). tRNAs cope with the degeneracy of the genetic code in two manners: having more than one tRNA (with a specific anti-codon) for a particular amino acid; and 'wobble' base-pairing, i.e. permitting non-standard base-pairing at the 3rd anti-codon position.
Source: Rfam by way of RNAcentral